This 253-nucleotide ribosomal RNA is filed under the name uncultured bacterium. RNAcentral's name for it is "partial 16S ribosomal RNA". It matches the Rfam family "Bacterial small subunit ribosomal RNA", at positions 524 to 776 of the family's 1533-position model. The record is from RNAcentral.
UACGGAGGUGGCAAGCGUUGCUCGGAAUCACUGGGCGUAAAGGGCGCGUAGGCGGGGAGGUAAGUCGGGUGUGAAAUCCCUCGGCCCAACUGAGGAACUGCGCCCGAGACUGCUUCUCUUGAGUCCCGGAGAGGAAGAUGGAAUUCCCGGUGUAGCGGUGAAAUGCGUAGAUAUCUGGAGGAAUACCGGUGGCGAAGGCGGCAUCCUGGACCGACAUUGACGCUGAGGAGCGAAAGCUAGGGGAGCAAACGGG